RNAcentral lists this ribosomal RNA (457 nucleotides) under uncultured bacterium. RNAcentral's name for it is "SSU rRNA". It matches the Rfam family "Bacterial small subunit ribosomal RNA", at positions 26 to 518 of the family's 1533-position model. The record is from RNAcentral.
AGAAUCAACGCUGGCGGCGUGCCUAACACAUGCAAGUCGCACGAGAAAGGGACUUCGGUCCUGAGUAAAGUGGCGCACGGGUGAGUAACACGUGAAUCAUCUACCUCCGAGUGGGGAAUAACCUAGAGAAAUCUGGGCUAAUACCGCAUAACACUUACGAGUCAAAGCAGCAAUGCGCUUGGAGAGGAGUUCGCGGCAGAUUAGUUAGUUGGCGGGGUAAUGGCCUACCAAGACGAUGAUCUGUAUCCGGCCUGAGAGGGCGCACGGACACACUGGAACUGAAACACGGUCCAGACUCCUACGGAGGCAGCAGUGGGGAAUUUUGCGCAAUGGGGGAAACCCUGACGCAGCAACGCCGCGUGGAGGAUGAAAUAUCUUGGUAUGUAAACUCCUUUCGAUGGGGAAGAUAAUGACGGUACCCAUAGAAGAAGCCCGGCUAACUCGUGCCAGCAGCCGC